Molecule: ribosomal RNA, 543 nt
Filed under: Triticum aestivum (bread wheat)
Lineage: Eukaryota; Viridiplantae; Streptophyta; Magnoliopsida; Poales; Poaceae
Description: partial small subunit ribosomal RNA
Source: RNAcentral
AUGGGGCAUAGCAAGCAUCAAAGCUGCACCCUGAAUUGGGACAGUCUGAACAUCCUGGUUGUGGCCUCACGAGAGCUGGACGGGCCGUUCACCAUGGCCGAGGUCUGGGCGGCGACCCUCGCGUCUCCCACGGAAAAGGCCCCGGGCCCGGACGGCUUCACUGGGCAGUUCUAUCGCUCAUGUUGGCCGAUCAUCAAGGAGGAGGUCAUGGCGGUAUUUAACAAGUUCUAUCAGAUGGCAAGGAGUAAUCUCGUCGAGUUGAAUUCUGCGCUCAUUGCCCUGUUGCUGAAGAAAAAUGGUGUGUCAGAGAUCAGUCAUUACAGACCCAUCAGUCUGAUUCACUCCAUGGCAAAGUUAAUCUCCAAAGUGCUCGCCCUCAAGUUAUCCUCUACUCUGACGGAGUUAUCUUGCCGACGCAAACGGCGUUUCAUAAAGGAAAAUGCAUCCACGACAGCUUUCAGUACGUGCAAGGCCGUGUCAGAAUGCUUCAUAGAGAAAAAAGCAGGCCUUGCUCUUCAAGCUCGAUUUCGCUCGCGCGUUUGA